Molecule: transfer RNA, 66 nt
Filed under: Trioceros fuelleborni
Lineage: Eukaryota; Metazoa; Chordata; Lepidosauria; Squamata; Chamaeleonidae
Description: tRNA-Met
Source: RNAcentral
ACUAGAAUCUGCUACAUAAGCAAUUGGGCCCAUGCCCCAAAAACGAUAAUACAAUAUCUUCUAGUA